RNAcentral lists this small RNA (488 nucleotides) under Pongo abelii (Sumatran orangutan). Its description in RNAcentral is "retained intron". Lineage: Eukaryota; Metazoa; Chordata; Mammalia; Primates; Hominidae. The record is from RNAcentral.
GUUGUGGACUACGUCUGUGCGGCUGCGUGGGGCUCGGCCGCGCGGACUGAAGGAGACUGAAGGCCCUCGGAUGCCCAGAACCUGUAGGCCGCACCGUGGACUUGUUCUUAAUCGAGGGGGUGCUGGGGGGACCCUGAUGUGGCACCAAAUGAAAUGAACAAAGCUCCACAGUCCACAGGCCCCCCACCCGCCCCAUCCCCCGGACUCCCACAGGUAAUUAGGGAGGAAUUAGCAGGGGAGGGGGUAGGGGAGACCAGGCAGUCGGGCAGGAACAGGUUCCAGCCUCCGGAUUUUCCUACCCCCAUCUGUGUCAGGGCAAAGUGCAGCCGCCUGCUGCCAAAUUGAGACAGGGCCCCUGGGCUGUCCCCGGGGGCUGUCACGGGGAGGGGGUAUGUGGAUUGUUAAGGCUCUUGCCGCAGAUCUGCUCCCCUUAUUUCACCAGCUUGGGUUUCUGCCCCACCUGGGCUUCCCCUCUUGCUGAACUCUGG